RNAcentral lists this ribosomal RNA (468 nucleotides) under uncultured bacterium. RNAcentral's name for it is "partial 16S ribosomal RNA". It matches the Rfam family "Bacterial small subunit ribosomal RNA", at positions 28 to 507 of the family's 1533-position model. The record is from RNAcentral.
GACGAACGCUGGCGGCGUGCUUAACACAUGCAAGUCGAACGGAAAGGCCCUGCUCUUGUGGGGUGCUCGAGUGGCGAACGGGUGAGUAACACGUGAGUAACCUGCCCUUGACUUUGGGAUAAUUUCAGGAAACUGGGGCUAAUACCGGAUAGGAGCUCCUGCUGCACGGUGGGGGUUGGAAAGUUUCGGCGGUUGGGGAUGGACUCGCGGCUUAUCAGCUUGUUGGUGGGGUAGUGGCCUACCAAGGCUUUGACGGGUAGCCGGCCUGAGAGGGUGACCGGCCACAUUGGGACUGAGAUACGGCCCAGACUCCUACGGGAGGCAGCAGUGGGGAAUAUUGCACAAUGGGCGGAAGCCUGAUGCAGCAACGCCGCGUGCGGGAUGACGGCCUUCGGGUUGUAAACCGCUUUCGCCUGUGACGAAGCGUGAGUGACGGUAAUGGGUAAAGAAGCACCGGCUAACUACGUG